UACGUAGGUGGCAAGCGUUGUCCGGAUUUACUGGGCGUAAAGAGCGCGCAGGCGGUCGUUCAAGUCGCGUGUGAAAGCUCCCGGCUCAACUGGGAGAGGUCCUUGCAUACUGGCGGACUUGAGGGGGGUAGAGGAAAGUGGAAUUCCCGGUGUAGUGGUGAUAUGCGUAGAUAUCGGGAGGAACACCUGUGGCGAAGGCGGCUUUCUGGGCCCUACCUGACGCUGAGACGCGAAAGCGUGGGGAGCGAACCGG
Molecule: ribosomal RNA, 253 nt
Filed under: uncultured bacterium
Lineage: Bacteria
Description: partial 16S ribosomal RNA
Rfam family: Bacterial small subunit ribosomal RNA
Source: RNAcentral